Molecule: long non-coding RNA, 1951 nt
Organism: Equus asinus (donkey)
Lineage: Eukaryota; Metazoa; Chordata; Mammalia; Perissodactyla; Equidae
Source: Ensembl
GUUGUACUUUGCCAAUUUCUGUUCUAGAAGAUUGACUCACAUCAACAAUAUUUCCAAGAGUCAUUAAUCAGCCACAGAUAGGAUUUACAUAUAAACAGGACAAGUUAUCUGCACAGAACAUCCUAUCAGAAAUGAGCCACUAAUGUCACCAAACUACAAAUCAGAAGCUUGCUUAGUAAUCAAUAGGUCAGGCAAAUUAAAUUGUUUUCUUGAUUUAUGUUCUCCCAAAAUUGACCCUGAGAAAAUGGUUUAAAUUCAAGUAUCUAUUUGGCAGAUAAUUCCUGGAAAUAUUAGUCAGGAAGUAAAGAAGUAAAACAGGGAAAGGAAGGAAGCCAGUAAAAUUUGCCUUGAUGAGCAAGAUCAGUAAGGGCAGCUGGAGCACAAUCUCCCUGGGAGAACAUGCCUCAGAUGUAUCCCACACAUGAGGCAAGGGAACUGGGAUAUUUAUCCAGUAACUCCAUCAGUCAUUGGUUAAGGAUUGCUUCUGGGAGGGUGGAGGGCAGAGAGGGCUCCAGGCAGAGUGGCAGCUGGAAGUUGGGCAGCAUGUAUGGACAUGGUAAAUGUCAAGGCGAUGGGGUGGGGCACCAACAGCAUCUGCUAUACCUGUUUUCUCCCAAAUGUUAUUUAUAAUUAGGUAAUAUGAAUUAAUCAGUAAAUUUUCUAUUAAGGGAAUUUUUCUGAAUAGUGGAACUAGUCCUGUAAAAACCAACCAACCUUCCUCUCCAUGGUGUUGGAUAGGUACUAACACGUUUUAAACAGCUAACCUCUUUUCUGUGCACUGUGCUGCCAAGUUUAUUGUUAGAGGAGAACAAAGGCUGGCCUAUGGAAAAGGAGAAAGUAGGCUAGCAGGGGAAGAAGAAAAGUGGGCAAUAAGGCAAGGGAACAAGAACCUGGGAGAAACAGAAGCAGUAGGGGUCGGACAGAAGUAGGGUGAGAAUCAUUUCAGCCUAUGGGAAAGGGAAGAGAUAGAAACAGACCUUUUCUAAUUCCUAAAAUCUAUUUUUUCCUAUUUACUAUUAGUAAUAACUAGUGGCAUAAUUACUAUAAUAAUAAGUGGUGGUGAUGGGAAGAUUUGGGGGUAUUCAUUUUAUGUAUCCAGAGUUUGGGCUUUUGGCUCCUCUCUACCGCUCUCACUAGAGACCGAGUUUUUCUUUUCUUUUGGUUUGGCUGCUUGGGUUUAUAUUUCCUCCCAGAAGGACUGACUGCUUCUGGCCACCUGUAACCUACUCCAGGAGGACCCAAGAUAAAUUACACGGUCACAGCAGAACGUAAGGACAAGAAGGAUCACAACUAUCUUCUUUGUCAGGUCAUGUGGACCCUUAGGGGUUGACUAACCAGGCAGAGUUACUCUAGGAGCAGCUAUGGAAAACUAGAGUGGGUAUGCACUCUCUGGGUCCACACCUCAGUUUUGGAACACAACUCCAUAAAAGAAGGAACUUCAUAAUGCUGGCAUAUUCAGGGCAAAAUAAUUCUUCCUUAAAGCCAAGCAACAGCAGUAUAAGCCUAGCGGUUGAGAGUGUAGGUGUCAGCAUCAUGCAGACCUGAGGUAGACUACUGGCUCAGUUACUUAGCUCCGCUGCAUGUAUUCAUCCAGACAUAAACGUCAAUACCUCGUUGAGUAUCCUGUGAAGAAUCCACUCUCACAAAGCAUUUGAGGGUAAGGUAGACUUUCUUAAGAUUCGACAGUGGCGAUUGAGAAAGAAUUUACAUCAUGCUACCCAAAGCAAUCAACUUUAAAAUCUGACAUUUGUAUCCUCCCAAGUCCAUUCUUAGCCUUCCUGAUACAAUGAUUUUCUCUCUUUCCUUCCUCCAUACAAUGCUGGGUGUCAUUGGCUCCAUUCUCCUCAUUCUCACCCCUCCUUAUUUUGUCUUCCACCUUGCUACGCAGCUGAGCCCCCUCCAGCUCUCCAGCUCAGCAGCAUAAAGGGUUCUCCAGUUAACAGGAUCUCCU